RNAcentral lists this long non-coding RNA (2294 nucleotides) under Xyrichtys novacula (pearly razorfish). Lineage: Eukaryota; Metazoa; Chordata; Actinopteri; Labriformes; Labridae. The record is from RNAcentral.
CAGGACACAUAUACCUCCAUUUUGAUGUAUUAUUUGUGUCAGUGGAGUGAGAUUUGUGGGCGUGGGAGCGAUAUAUUCGAGCGAGGUUCUGUCGAUCAGAGACGAGGUCUGCACUCUAGCUGAUGACAUCAUCACUCUAAACUCUCCAAUACACACCCAUUAUAAAGCUUGAAAUUUGCUGAAAACCACAAGUUGCAUAAAGCUAAAUUGUGGAAGAACUGUAAAAGAUAUCAAAAAACUGAGUACAACUAUAAUAGUCGACAAGUGAAUGAACAUUUUAAAGCAAAAAUGAGGUCUCUAGGUGAAAGUAUGCUGAAGUUAUAAGGUCUAGAAGGUGGAAGAAUGAAAGGAAGAAGUUGAAGAUUUCCCCAUUGACUUCAAUGUUAAAAUUUUUGCACAAAAAGUUAAAAAAAACAAAAAGUAUAAAGGGUAGAAAGAAAAAAAAUACACGCAAUAAUGUCCUGAAGGAGUGGAAUAGUUUAAAGUUUGAAUGGUUGAAAUCGGACAAAGUUUGAAGGAGGAGAAGCGGUCCAAAAAAGGGACGGAAGAAUAAUAAUAACUAGAAAAAUUGCAUUUCCUUGCAGAAAAUGCGUGGAAAUGCUGAGUGCUGAAAGCUGAAAAAGCAAUGCUAAACUGCUAAUAAAACAUGGAGAAAGGUAUCAAUGUUAAAGCUGUUGAAGGGGUGAGAAAGAAAUGUAAGUUGGAUAAUUGAUUAAUUGGUUGAAGGACAAAUAGUAUGAAUAUGCUCUAUAAAAGAAAAUUCUAUUCAUGCUGAAAGAGGCUAGAAAAAUGUCUAAAAUUGCACAAAGUUUGAAUGAAGAAGGAAAUUGCCUUAAAAGGCAGGAAGGUGAGAAGUGGCAUAAGUUUAAGUUUUUAAGUAUAAGAAAGGUUUGAAUCAGUUUGAAUCAGUUCAAAUUAGUUUGAAAAAUUAAAUGAUAAAUCAUCACUGAGUGACUUUAAAAUGUGAAAAAUCUAAAUGAAUAAAAAUCCUAAAUACACCCCAUAAUGUCCUCAAUGAGCUUUCAUUUUAAAGCCCUGAAUGGUUUCUGUAGGUCAAAGGUCAUGUGAGGAGAUAGGGGCUUAGGUUUUUUCAAGCACUCUAGUAAAGGGUUUUAAGUGUCACCCCAAGUGCUAUGUGUUCUGAGCCUGGCUUCAUUUGUCUCAUAUGGCCAUUAGAAGCAGCUUUCCAGUCAGCUGUGUGUCUCCAGGUGCACAAAUUGGUUGCCAUGGGGACCUUGGAUGAAUAACUAUAGCAGGAGAAAGAAGGCUUGAAGCUAAGGAAACAGGACUCCAAGUAGGCCCUGACGCUCAUCCUCUGUAUAAAUUCAUAAGGAGCUUGUGAGAACACAAGAUUUUGCUGAACACAUUAAUACAAUUUAUUAUCACAAUCCUCAAAACACCCCAUAAUAUCUUCAAUGAGCUGAAUUUUUCAAGCCCAGAAUGGUUUCUGUAGCUCAAAGUUUGUGGGUGGAGAUAGGUGAUGAAGCAGACACAUAUUACCUGUGUGUACAAGCAGGUGAACUGCCAGGUAGACCUGACAAUGCAAAUAGUACAAGAAUGUGUGUGUGUGUGUGUGUGUGUGUGUGUGUGUGUGUGUGUGUGUGUGUGUGUGUGUGUGUGUGUUAAUGACUGCAUCCUAAACAGCUGUGAGAUCAAAGCAUUAACUAACCUAUUGUUUGAAUGGAGAAGCUGCCGAACUGCAGUGAAUUUAGGGUUCUGAACUUCUUCACAUAGCACGAUUUCCUUAAAUCCCAGAAUGAAAAUAAGAACAUCGUACGAAUCCUCCAUCCUUUAUGAACACAAUGAUCUGUUUUUCAUGUCUGUACUCCGAAAAAUGUGGCCACAACAGCGAGUUAAAAAAGUCUGAGCCUGAGUGACGAUAAGGAUUUUCUUGGAGAAAAAAUACAUUAGGGCCAAUGGGGAGAGAUUUGCGCCUAUUUGGACAGUUGGUCACCUGCUGGCCAAGGGGUAGGAUUUAAUGAUUUGAAACCUCUUUUGUGAGAAGCAGGACACAUAUACCUCCAUUUUGAUGUAUUUUUUAUGGCUGUGGAGUGAGAUUUGUGGGCGUGGGAGCGAUAUAUUCGAGCGAGGUUCUGUCGAUCAGAGACGAGGUCUGCACUCUAGCUUUUCAAAUCAUCACUCUAGCCUCUCCAAUACACCCCCAUUAUAAAGCCUGAAAUUUGCUGAAAACCAUAAGUUGCAUAAAGCUAAAUUGUGGAAAAACUGUAAAAGAUAGCAAAAAAAAGUUAAUACAACAUCAAUAGUCGACAAGACAAUGAACAUUUUAAAGCAAA